Molecule: ribosomal RNA, 1345 nt
Filed under: uncultured bacterium
Lineage: Bacteria
Description: bacterial SSU rRNA
Rfam family: Bacterial small subunit ribosomal RNA
Source: RNAcentral
GAUGAACGCUUGCGGGAGGCCUAACACAUGCAAGCCGAGCGGUAUUGUUUCUUCGGAAAUGAGAGAGCGGCGUACGGGUGCGGAACACGUGUGCAACCUGCCUUUAUCUGGGGGAUAGCCUUUCGAAAGGAAGAUUAAUACUCCAUAAUAUAUUGAACGGCAUCGUUUAAUAUUGAAAGCUCCGGCGGAUAGAGAUGGGCACGCGCAAGAUUAGCUAGUUGGUGAGGUAACGGCUCACCAAGGCGAUGAUCUUUAGGGGGCCUGAGAGGGUGAUCCCCCACACUGGUACUGAGACACGGACCAGACUCCUACGGGAGGCAGCAGUGAGGAAUAUUGGUCAAUGGGUGCAAGCCUGAACCAGCCAUCCCGCGUGAAGGACGACUGCCCUAUGGGUUGUAAACUUCUUUUGUAUAGGGAUAAACCUACCCUCGUGAGGGUAGCUGAAGGUACUAUACGAAUAAGCACCGGCUAACUCCGUGCCAGCAGCCGCGGUAAUACGGAGGGUGCAAGCGUUAUCCGGAUUUAUUGGGUUUAAAGGGUCCGUAGGCGGACUUAUAAGUCAGUGGUGAAAGCCUGUCGCUUAACGAUAGAACUGCCAUUGAUACUGUAAGUCUUGAGUAUAUUUGAGGUAGCUGGAAUAAGUAGUGUAGCGGUGAAAUGCAUAGAUAUUACUUAGAACACCAAUUGCGAAGGCAGGUUACCAAGAUAUAACUGACGCUGAGGGACGAAAGCGUGGGGAGCGAACAGGAUUAGAUACCCUGGUAGUCCACGCCGUAAACGAUGCUAACUCGUUUUUGGGCUUUAGGGUUCAGAGACCGAGCGAAAGUGAUAAGUUAGCCACCUGGGGAGUACGCUCGCAAGAGUGAGACUCAAAGGAAUUGACGGGGGCCCGCACAAGCGGUGGAUUAUGUGGUUUAAUUCGAUGAUACGCGAGGAACCUUACCAAGACUUAAAUGGGAAUUGACAGCUUUAGAAAUAGAGCUUUCUUCGGACAAUUUUCAAGGUGCUGCAUGGUUGUCGUCAGCUCGUGCCGUGAGGUGUUAGGUUAAGUCCUGCAACGAGCGCAACCCCUGUCACUAGUUGCCAUCAUUCAGUUGGGGACUCUAGUGAGACUGCCUACGCAAGUAGAGAGGAAGGUGGGGAUGACGUCAAAUCAUCACGGCCCUUACGUCUUGGGCCACACACGUAAUACAAUGGCCGGUACAGAGGGCAGCUACACAGCGAUGUGAUGCAAAUCUCGAAAGCCGGUCUCAGUUCGGAUUGGAGUCUGCAACUCGACUCUAUGAAGCUGGAAUCGCUAGUAAUCGCGCAUCAGCCAUGGCGCGGUGAAUACGUUCCCGGGCCU